Equus asinus (donkey) is the source of this 1263-nucleotide long non-coding RNA. The record is from Ensembl. NCBI's taxonomy places the organism in Eukaryota, Metazoa, Chordata, Mammalia, Perissodactyla, Equidae.
AGAUGGCAUGGGUGUGAGGAAAGAAUGCUGAGGAAGAUGGCAUGGGUGUGAAGAAAAAAUGCUGAGGAAGAUGGCAUGGGUGUGAGGAAAGAAUGCUGAGGAAGAUGAUGGCAUGGGUGUGAGGAAAGAAUGCUGAGGAAGAUGAUGGCAUGGGUGUGAGGAAAGAAUGCUGAGGAAGAUGGCAUGGGUGUGAGGAAAGAAUGCUGAGGAAGAUGGCAUGGGUGUGAAGAAAAAAUGCUGAGGAAGAUGGCAUGGGUGUGAGGAAAGAAUGCUGAGGAAGAUGGCAUGGGUGUGAGGAAAGAAUGCUGAGGAUCCUGCAGUUAGGACUGCAGGUGAGUUUAAUGGCAGCCAGGGUGGAGAACUGGUGCAUCAAGCGAUAGUUUACUACUGCUGAUGAACGAUCAGAUGUGAGGUCCUACCUAAUCACUCAUAAGGAAUACUCACAGGAGUACUGUAAGGAAUAGCAGUCUUGGAGUUUUCUGCACAGGCUGACCUCGUGGUGUCCAGCUAAGGCAUUUCCAAGCCCCUUUGACAUAGAGCUUUUUGAAUCUUCUAAAUUAUUCUUUUAUUCCGUAAUUUAUACAACUGAUUCUCAUUAUUUGUGGUAGUCUAUGAAGUCACCAGGAACACUGAAUUAGCAAAUAUUGAACCAUUGCUCCUAGGGGAAAUACAGGGUUGGGUUCCUGCGAGCCUCUGGUCACAUUUUCAUCACCAAUCAAUAUAUGAUAUUUUAUGUACGUUUCUGUUUAAAAAUAUUUAAUGCACGUUGGCAGUUUGCUCAUGUUGAACUCAUGGCCAACAGCACUAUAACUCAUGCCUAAAUGAAGCUUAUCCAACAUGCAUUUUCUCUUUUAGGCAUGUCGCAGCCUUCCUGCACUUAGGGACACUAUGACAGUACUUCAGCAGUGCUCUUGGGGCACAUUUUAAAAAGAACAAACAUUGGGGCUGGCAGCGUGGCUGAGUGGUUAAGUUCGCACUCUCCGCUUUGGUGGCUCAGGGUUUCACCGGUUCCAAUCCUGGGCGCGGACAUGGCACUGCUCAUCAAGCCAUGCUGAGGGGGCAUCCCACAUGCCACAACUAGAAGGACCCACAACUAAAUACAUACAGCUAUGUACUAGGGGGCUUUGGGGAUAAAAAGGAAAAAUAAAAAAAUCUUAAAAAAAAAUCGACAAAAGACAGAAAACUGUGAAAAGCUCGUGUCUUCUCACAGGGCCACUUCCAGUGCAGGAGCACUGAGAAAUAAAUAGGAAACCAAAGAGCCAG